Molecule: long non-coding RNA, 9465 nt
Filed under: Equus caballus (horse)
Lineage: Eukaryota; Metazoa; Chordata; Mammalia; Perissodactyla; Equidae
Description: lncRNA (ENSECAG00000055327.1)
Source: RNAcentral
GAAAGCUUUGAGUCGUUGCCAACUGCUAUUGUAAAUAUUUAUUAAGAGGCUGUUUCCAAGAACUGAGGAAGCUUUAUUCUAUUGCUGUUGUCGUUGUUUUUUAAACCUUAAAAAAGUGCUUAUUAUCCAUGUGUUUUUGGUAACAUGAAAAUUACUAUUUACGCUGAAGAUAAAUAAUUUGGGAUGAUUUGAAAAUAAAGGAUGUAGAAUGGAAGAAAUAUAUUGAACUAUCUAUUGAACCCUAGGAUGUUUGAGCUGGAAGUUACUUGGUUGAAGAUCUAGACCAAUCUAGUUGAAACCAGGAUUGCUCAACCUAACAGCAUCCUUGGUCUGUAUCCACUAGACGCCAGUAACACCCCCCCCCCUAAGUCAUGACAAAAUGUCCCAAAUAUUGCUAAAUGUCACCAAAUGAGAACUACUGGUCCAAAUCCUUUAUUUUAGAGAUGAAAAAAGAAGCUCAGAGAGGUAAGUGAUGGGCCUUACAUUACUCAGCUGGUUAGGAGUAGAUCCUGAAAUAGCAUCCUUCAUCUUUUACUGCCUCUUCUUGGGUUCUUUCCACAGAGACUGCCGCCAAACUUCCUGGAUAAUAUUAGUUAGCCACUCAAUCCCAUUUGCAUCAGAGCCAUGGGCUCAGACCCUCAAAAUAAUGCAGCUUCUAUUGAAAAACUCAAGCUCGGCAAGCUCAUGCUCUUUGAGCGGUCUCCAAUUCACUUAAGAACUAAGAUUUUUGUGAAAUUUCAAUGAUACACAUUGAGUUGAUUCUAAGUAACCGAAAUAUUCCUUCCAAGCUCACAUUUUCUUUCGGAGAAAGUAUCUGUUUUUCUCUCCAUUUCCUUUACUUGUGCUAAAGCAGAUGUCUUGAGCCAGUCCCAGAGGAUUUUUGUUUACUCGAUCAUUUUCCGUGGGACCGGCGACUAGGUGACUGAAUCCUUGCCAAACGGUAAAUAAAUCCAUAAACAACUUUUGUUCAUUGAUAAUUGGGUGUAACAUAUGCAAAGUUAAAGUUCACUUCGUAAAAACAUUUGGUUUUAUUUGAGGUCUUUUCUUCUGGUCAGUACCUUCAGACAUCUAGGUAAAAAAAAGAUAAUUCACAUUUCGACAUCCUAAGGUCCUGUCAUUUGCCUCUUAUUUAUAAUGUUGACAAAUAAGUAAAGGAGACAGCCAAAGGUGAGUGAAACCAGGCUCCAGAAUGUUCUUCCUCAGCGAUUGUACCACCAUGAACCAGCCCUUCCUGGUUGGUGACAGGCUCGCUUGCUCACAGGUUGCCCAGGGUCACUUGGCAGGCCUGCCUUGGAUUCCAACUCUACAGAGCUGUUGUCACUGAGUCCAGCAGCUUGUGGUUGGAAAAGACCCCCUGAGCCAGCAAAAGGCCAGUGACAUUCCAGCUCAACUCCAAUUUAUGUCAGUGUGCCAGUGACGAAAUUCACGUCUCUCCCUCAGCCCUGCCGGUUGUCUGUGUGACAGGGCAAAUCCUCGCUGACAGCCAGUGCCAGCAGCCGCAGCAGGUGCGUCUUCUUGCCCUUUGUUGAAAUGGCCUGCAGCUCCGGGAGAUAGCUCGGGAAUGCUGCUGACGCCAUCCGGGGACUCAGCACCCUCACCUGCUUACGCUCCAACUCUGCCGGUCUGGAAGAGGAACUGUGUUUCCAUAUUGUGAGAUGUUCUCAUUGCACCAGAUGCUGAGUUUUGUGCUGGCUUUGUGCAGAACCCAGAAAUAUCCAUCGUCAAAUUGAAAGCUGCGGUAGAAACAAAAUCUGGUCAAUGCUGUGUCGUCGGGACAUCGGGAGGCCCCACAGAACACCAAUCUCUUUCGUCUAAAUUACUGCAUCUUCUGAUUGUUCCCAGAUUCGUGCUGUGGUUAAGUCUGUGUGGGCAAGUCCUAUCUCCUGGUCGCUUUUCAUGUGCUGCACAGUACAUGACGUCGCAGCGUGGGAUAGCAGAAAGACAGCGAGUCUGAAUUCCAUUCCUGCUCUGAUAGUUUUUAUGAGUUUGGCAGAAGAGCCUCAAGGAGAAUGAACAAAUGUCAACCCGCGCAGAAGCCCACACACCAAAAGAGAGGAGACCUUGGGGAGGGGGAGAAAAUGAAGUGAUUUAAUGAUCUGAACGGCUGGGGGAAGGAGGGGGCAGGUUCCCCCAAAUCCAGAAUUAAGGCAUCCUUCUGAGAGUUGUCUGUGCGCUCCGGGCAAGUGCAGAGAGUGGUGCAGAGUGCAGAGAAUCCAAUCCUGAAUUUCCAAAAUGCUGUGAUGGCGUGGCCUCUGGGCUAAAGUAAGGACGACUAAAUCGUCUUCCCAACCCCGUGGGCGCUGGACUGGCCCUCCUCCCGCCGCACUCCCAUAUCUUCCAGGCAGUCGCACACACCUUGGCCCUUCUCCAGGUGGAUGACGGGAGCAAAGAGUGCUGACGGGGACCGGCCAGCCGGAAGAAUGCUUUUGUUAUUGACCUUGACACCUUCCUUCCCAAAUAAGAGGUUAUGACGCAUCCUCGUGGCAUUUUAGUCCUUUCUUGAGAGCUUACCUCAGUGUAAUUUUUCACUUUUUUGCAUGUGAUCAUUGUCUAUUUCCCACUGGUCUGAGGUUCUCUGAGGGUAGAGGGCAACUGCUUUCUUUUUUUUCGUGUCAUUCUGUCCUCGUGUCUACAUAUUAAGCUCUCAAAAAAUAUUUAUUGUCUGAUAACUAAAGGAAUAAUUUAAUCUACUCUCUUACUCAGACAUUGGCUAUUAUGGAUAAAAAUUUUGAAUAUAAGUGAAUAAAUACAUUUAGCUAAAACUAUUUCAAAUUUAUUUAAUUUACAUUUAAAGCUGGCUAAAAAUGUAAAACAUUUCGAAUUAUGAAUAAGCCUCAGUUUGAAUAUGUAACUAGGAUUUCUCAAGGAGUGAAACAAAAAAAUUUUCAAAACUCUUAAGGAUGUAAGUUUAUAUAUUAAAAGUUUAUAUAUUCAUCAUACGGCAUAUUUUAUUUUCAAAUGCAUGGUUUCAUCUUAUUUCAUAAGUAGAUGUUGAGCCCAGUCCAGUUUGGGAUCUAGUCUGAACUGACUCUCCUUCUAAUAGGGGAAUUGAGCCCGUUCACGUUAAAUAAAGUAAGAGUUGGGAUGGUAGAAUGCAAUCAAAGAUUGGCUGUCUUCAGUUUAAAGAAAAAGAUAAAGAUUUUGGAAGUUAUGAGAGCCUGAUUCUACCAGUAUUUCCCAUUGCUAAGGCCAAUUACCUCCCAGUUCAGGCGGAGUUCUCAGCACCUUUGAAGUGAGUAAUGGCUUUCAGCCCCAACAGCUGCCCUGCAAGAGACAAUUCCCCUCCCUCUGUCUUUUCCCUCCCACCUCCAGACACUCAGACUUCAUACUGUCAUCCUGUUAUCACAAUGUGUGCUCAGGAAAGGACACCAUCUGCCAGCAUCCAGUGUGAUCAGCUGAUAAGCUCUAUUUCUCUGAGAUUUACAUUUAAGGCAUAGGAGGAAUUAUGAAAUAAACACCUUUGCUUCCAAAUAAAGCAUUUUCAGGAUCCAGUAAGAGAUGUUUUUGAGAUUAAACUACGGCUACAGCUUAGCAUACUGAUACUUUUUAACCAAACAUUUAUAUUAUGACUAUUUCCAAAUAAUUAAAUAUUCUUUGAAUACGAGAUUCCAGAUAUAGAUAUUUUAAUGGAUGGCCUCCUUCUCCCAAAUGGAGACUUAGUAAGAAUCCAUUUAGUUGACUCCAAAAAUGGGAAUCAAGUUUUAUUUUCCCAUAAACAAGAUGCAUAGCAUCUGACUAGUGGAAAUAUGCCUUAGAGAACCCUUCACAGAUGCCGUCCAGCUGGGGUGCUUAUCAGAAAAUGUUACAAGGAGGACAGACUUUUCCCCCAGGUCUUUAGGCAAGAUGCAGCCAGAGCACUUAGCACAGGGAAUUCUGUUUGGUUAUUAGUCAAUAGAAUGAAAUUCCUGAUCUCUAUAAUCAGCUGUUCACGCAAAACAGGGAAGGGUUUGAGCGUAGAAUGAGAUAAAUCUUUCCCUUUGGCUAUGUCCUCUGUCAAAUUAGAGUCGGAACAAAAUGUGUCGGCACUGUUUGGAUGAUCCAGAUAAUUGGCAACGCUGAAAUUAUGGGAAAAAACCUACUUUUGUGUUAUCAUUUUAUACAACAAUGAAAUUGUCAAAAGGACAGCAGCUUUGUAUAGGAAAUAGAGAAUAGGUUCAUGCAAUUGGAAUGACCAGAGUGAGUGGAGAAACGUUCCAACAGAAUUGUAGAAAAGACAAAGUCACAGAACAUUUUUAAGACAGAAGCAAAGUCUUUUAAUAUUAAAUGUAUCCUAAUGAUCUUUAAUGCUUUCUUUAGCAUAGACUUGACUUGUGAUUGUAUUUUUUGUCUACAAGCACUAUUAAAUGUGGUUUAGAGACGUGCAAAAUUCACACGUGUUGCUCUGUUUAGAACCACUCUGACUACCCAUUAACGGCGUUAUUUUAUUUAACAAUCAACCUCUGCCUUAGUAAGGUUUGAUGUUGGUUUUAGCUUUUAAAAUACUCUCUUUUCCCUCUCUGCUUCCUCCCUCCCUCUUUUCUAUCUUUCCAUGUAAUUUAGGGGAAAAAAGUCCAGAUAACUCAUGCUUUCUUGGAAGGGAAACAACAUGUGAUAGAGAAGACGUCUAUCAAACUCAUGCCCUAUCGGGGGAAUAAAGUCCAUCAGAAAGUGUGCUCAAAUCUCAUUAUUGAGGCAACUUCCCGAAGGCACCCACCCUUGUUGGAGAUGUAGAGAAACAAACUCCCACACCUCCUGCAAGAACUGGCACUGACUGUAUUUAGAGCUUUCCUCGAAUCUUUCUGCAAAUGGAUUCACCAAGGCACUGGAAAGGUCUAUUCCAUAUCUGGAAAACUCCAGCUAUUUGUAUAAACCAUAACUUUUUUUUAACAAAUGGUCAAAGUGUACUUUCCUCUUAUUUCUGUUUUUGUAAUUAGCUCCAUAAAGAAGUUAAGAAAGGAACUAGCAACAUUCUUUUAACACUUCAAGAAAAUCAGAGGAGAGAGGGACAUAAAGAGAAGGAAAGAAAGAAAGUGAGGAGAAAUGCCUGUUUUGGGGAAUCUGAUCAAAGUUCAGUGGUUAAAACAAUUCCCUCCAUGUGGCUUGGCUAAAUACACUUGCAGAUUUUGCAUUCUUCGUAUCCUUCUGACUUUGGGCCUCAUGAAUUCUCCAUCCUCCAUUCUUUCAGCUGAAUUUUCCCUUCCACUUGCAUUUCUCACCUUUGGAGCCUCUUUGCAAAAGUUGCCCACGAAUAAAAGGUCCACAUUACCCACAAGGAUAUCAACUCAUAUUGUCUAUACCCAGAAAUAUGGGAAAGUUCCUGGAGACAAUAUCUAUGAUAAGAAUAAAGACUGUACUCUGCUUUCUUCAAAACAGAGUAGAAGGAUCGGGUUCAAUUACAAACAUAUUUUAAGAAAAUUUAUAAAAAGAUGGCCAUCAAGAUAAAAACAUAAUCAGAAAAUCAAGUAAGAAUUUUGUGGUAUUUAAUAGGCCAUCAAAUUCCAAGCCCAAGGAAUUCCCCUUGAUUAAUCCUGAAACACAAUAUUUCCUAGAAAACUAGGAGUAGCGGAGGCCUUUCCAACCUUGCCUGCCUGCAGCUGUGUCUCUGAGAGUCAGCCUUGCUGAGCGGCCAACAGGCCAUGUGCCCCGCCCGCGUGACCACAGCUAACUGGACCAGAUGUGGAUGCCUGACGAAAGCUUUGCAGAUACUCUUUUCGGUGAAUAUGAAAUUAGAACUCAGGCCGAUCAAGCUUUCCUUGAGUUCUUGGUCUGGUAGGCCUUAUAGAUGAGGUGGACACUUCUGCCAUGUGGAUAAAGUGAACUAAGCAGAGCUACAGAAAGUGAGAGAAGAGGGAGCAGACUCACGAUAAUCAGCAGAAACUCUACAUCUCCCAGUAAGAGACAGAACGAGUAGAUGCUUCGGUUGCUGAUAGCUUUAGAGAGUCCAGUUCCAGGCUUUAUAGCGUCCAGUUCAAGCCUUUACAGCAUCCAGUUCCAGUCCUUACAGAGUCCAGUUCCAGGCUUUACAGCGUCCCGUUCCAAUCUCGCCUGUGAUCCCUUAUGCUCCACGAGCUGCUCCUCUUUCUUCUGAUAAAGUCUCGGUGCAGCUCCAGCUUAUUUAAGUGCGUUUCUAUUAUUAUAAACAAACCAAAAAAACUAUUACUUGGAACCAAUAAUCUCUGAUUUGGUUUCUAUUACUUUUCACCAAUAAUAAUCUGCAAUUUGUAGCCAACAGUUUUAUUAUGUGUACCUAAUUUUAAUUCCUUGCAACCAAACCACAACAGUAACAGCAAAUCAAAAGAAAACCCCCAGCUGCUGUGAUUAAGCUGGAAGGUCGCUGUGCCGGGACACUAAGAGGUCACAGGUUCAGCAUUGCUACGGUUGGCAGAAUUCUAAAGAUAUCCUCCCAGGCUUCCCAUCCUCCAGCCAUUCAACCAAACACUAAUCUAGAUACUGCUGUCAAAGGACCUUGCAGGUGCAGUUAAGGUUAUAAGUCACCUGACUUUUAGCUAAGAUUAUCCUGCAUUAUCUGAGUGGGGCCAGUGUAAUCACAUGAGCCCUUUAAAAGCAGCAGAAGGCAGAAGUGGAAGGAAGAGAGCCCAAGCAGGAGAAGGAUUCAGUGCACCAUUUCUGGCUUUGAAGAUGGAGUGGGCCACAAGCUAAGGAAUGUGGGUGGCCUCCAGAAGCUGAGAACAAUUCUAGACUGACAGCCAGCAAAGAAAUGAGGACCGCAGUACUACAAUCCUACGGAACUGAAUUUGGCCAACAACCCAAAUGAGCCUAGAUGUGGAUUCUCCAGAGAAGAGUCCAGGCUUGGGGUCAUGAGACCCAAAAGAGAGAACCCACUUGAGCCAUGGACACUGUGACCUAAUAAAUGGGUCUUGUUUUAAGUCAAUAUCUUUGUGGUAUUUAUUACUGCAGCGAUAGAAAACUAACGUAACUACCUUCUAGGGUACGUCCACACCAUCUUGGGAAUCCAAUUCCAUUCCCAUGCCUGACACAGCCCUCUCUAUCAUCUGGUUCAAAUCUCCUGCUUGUAAAGCAAACAAACAGAAAAAGAAAAGGAAAAACAACUUCAGAUCAAGCAUUCCAGUCCAUCCCUGGGACUUCUUCAUGUGAAUACAGCCUGCGUGUGCGCAUUAAUGAGAUUUUUUUCAAUCGAUAAAGUAACUGAUAUCCUUAACUGAAGGUCAGGAUCAUCCUGCUUCUGGUAAAUUCACCUCAUGGGGUUGGGAGUCUCCCAUUAUGGAAUUCGUAAUUAACCCUCCUCGCACGCAGAUUGGCAAUAUCACAAAAACAACCUUUCUCAGGGUAUUUUGGGAAUUAUAUUCCCAGUGAGAGAUGAGAAAUGCAGACCUACAUGGAACCGGAAAGGAUAUCAGGAGAAAACGAUUUGUUGAUUUUCGUGGGGCUGGAAAGGGAGAAAGAGGAUACAAGUUCUUGUCCUGGUUUGGGCAAGAGACUCCAGACGUUUGUUGUCUUCUCUGUCCUGGUUUUAGAGGACAAAGGGGGAAAAAGGACUCUUCUCUCAUUUCCAUAUCAGAACAUAUUUUUCCAGGUGUAGUGUAGUGGGUCAAAUGGUGGCCCCCCAAAAGAUAUGUCUAUGCCCUAACCCCUGGAAGGUGUGAAUGUGAUCUUAUUUAGAAAAAAGGUCUUUGGCAGAUGUAAUUAGGGUAAGGAUCUCGAGGUAUGAUCAUCCUGGAUUAUCUGGGUGGGCCCUAAAUCCAAAGACAAGUGUCUUUAUAAGUGACACACAUAGGAGAGACACACAGGGAGAGGAGGAGAGGGCCAUGUGAAGAUGGAGGCAGAGAGAGAAGAGAAGGAUGCAGCCACAGCCAAGAAACACCUGCAGCCCCCAGAAGAUGGAAGAGGUAAGGAAUGGAUUCUCCAUUAGAGACUCAGCAGGGAGCAUGGCCUCACUGACACCUUGAUUUUUGGAUUUCUGGUCUCCAAAGCCAUGAGAAUAGAUUUCUGUUGUUUUGAGCCACACAUUUUGUAAUUUGUUAUAGCAGCCACAAGAAACUGACACACACCGUAAUAGGAUUUGGGUCUUCUUUACAUUUUAGCCUACACUCUCCACUCCUUCUUUUUCUCUGACUUUCAGUUCUGUUUGGGAGAAGGCUAAAUGCUUUCUGAUCUUUUAAUUUGUACCUGUCCCUCAAAGCACACUGAUGCAAAAGUGAACAGCGAAAUAACAAGAACUAACGACAGAAUGAGAGAGCCGUCAUCAUUUUCAAAUGCUAGCAGCCCACUGAAAGGCUCAGUUGACAAUGGACUUGUGAGGGGGGACACCUGAGAGUCAGUGACACUUGUUACACCACUUAGGAGUCAUCCAUUUCAUCUUGCACAUUGGAGGUCCUGUCCUUUUUGACAGAAGGAGAUAAAAAGGGUGGAAGAUCAGGGGUGGAGGAAUGCCAUGGUUGAAUAUUCUUCUGUGUUUGAGUCAGGAGACACUGUCCAAGGUUUCUAGAACAGGAAAUAGAGAUUAAUAACUUUUCCUUUUGGUCAGGAAGAUUCACCCUGAGCUAACAUCCAUUGCCAAUCUUCCUUUCUUUUUUUUUUUGCUCAAGGAAGGUUAGCUCUGAGCCAACAUCUGUGCCAGUUUUCCUCUAUUUUGUAGGUAGGAUGCUUCCACAGCAUGGCCAAUGAGUGGAGUAGGUCUGCUCCUGGGAUCCGAACCUGCAAACCCGGGCCGCCAGAGCCGCUCUUUAGAAGACAGCUUGGUCUAGAACUGGGGAACUCAGGCCUCUGUCCCAGCUCAGCCACACAGCAUCUCUAGACGUGACCUAGGGGUCUUGCUCAGUGGGAAGGAGGCUGGGAAUGUAGCUAGUAAUGUGCCAGGAAGAAGAGGAAAACACGUACACUGGGGCUCACUAACAGUCUUAUCAGUCAUAUUUCUCUUAUUGCUCAAACCACAAUGACUAAGCCACAUCCUAGCCAUGUGGGUAGACAUUCCAUCUCAGACAUAGGGAAAAGUUUUAAAAAUCUGAAAGGAAGAGGUUCCUUAAUAGCUACUGGCAAGCUGAGUUCAUCCUGAGUGUUCUUUCUUUACGUGCAGAACUUUAAACACUCGUCCUUGGGGCCAGCCCUGAGAGAUUAAUAACUUUAUUUAAAUAGGGAAGGACUAAAAAUUAUUCUGUAGUCAUAAAAUAUUUAGAGAUAGAUGAGAAAGGAGUGCUUGUCUUUUGCAGAGGAGUCAAUAGAUAGUGUUAAGAGUUGCUACUCAAGAAAUAGAAGCAUAGGCUUAUAGUUCCACGUUACCGUGGCAACUUCCAGGAGGACCGAAGAUGGAAAUCACUAGAAAAUGGUCAGCUCUGGGAAGCGGCCCCAGGGAUGUGGAAGGGUCAUAGGAGAGAUGCUGCUUUUGCAAAUUCCCUUGUGUAUCAUUUAACAAUUUAUAUAUGCAUGUAUUAUUUUAAUUAAAUGUUUUGAAAUAAAAUAAUUCAUGAUAAAGCCCAUUUUCGAGGCAGAAGUUCAGGGAGAGUGAAG